Molecule: long non-coding RNA, 1479 nt
Organism: Silurus meridionalis
Lineage: Eukaryota; Metazoa; Chordata; Actinopteri; Siluriformes; Siluridae
Exons: 5
Source: RefSeq, a predicted model, not a curated record
UCUGAUCCGAAAUAAAAUAAAAUGUUAGUUUUACAAUAAGCAGAUCCCCAACACGUCUACACACACCAAUGGGAGUCACAUGAUAAAGAACAAACGACGUGCACUAGAAGACCAUUAGUUGUGUUAGGCGUGGCACAGAGGCGGAAGCCGGAGUAACGGCAAACAGAAACUUUAUUAGAACAAAGGCAGAGCCAACACAAAACACCCGUGCAGUUCGGGACAAUCCGGCAAACAGCAGUUCACUUGUAUUACCCACGGUGCGUUAUGGAGGAGGCGCGGCACGGAGGGAAGCGACGGGGAAGCGUCGGUAGUCCGAGGUGCGCUGGGGAAGCCAAACGCGGCCGUGGAGUGAGCGAGGAGUCCGGGCGAAGAAGGCACGCAGCGGGAGAAGCACAUAAGCGAAUACACAGCCUGAACCUGCACGACCACGCAUGAACGUACAAUAACGGACCCGGAAUGUGGGUUGCACCAGCUCCCGUUGUGUCCCACAUCAUGAAGAUUAUAAACCGUCAAAGAGUUGAUGCCCGCAAACAUCCUGAACCAUCUAGAGACGUAUCAGCACCAUUUGGAUUCCACUUCAUGUAGAAUUUGGUCAUUGGACCUCUUUGAGUGUUUAAAGGCUCUGGCAUGGAGAAGCUGGUGUUGGAUCUUUGAUGAUCUCAGGAGGCUAAACAGAUGCUGCUCCAUCACUGAUGCUGAUGAGAAACUCACAGUGUUGAUUGUGCUGUACAGUGUUGAUAAAGUGCUGUAUUUAAGCAGAUGCACUUAUCUAGAUUGAUCUAGAUCUAGACUCUGAAUCACGUGUGUAAUCAGUCUAAUGGAAAAACAGCAAAAUGGCAUAACUGGCAGGGAAUCUAUGAAAGCACAUGCUAAUGGUAAGUGGUAAAUGUCCAAAAAAAUAUAAAAAAUAAAAAUAAAGCGAAUAUACUGUUUAUCACUGUGUCGCAUGUUAGGUAAUUUAUGCCGACUGCCAACUCUAAGUAGGGUGCUCUCGCUCCUCUCAAUCUCGGGCCCCGCUGAGGUGAAGCGGCGUCCAUAUACCUGGGACCUGGCAAUGUGUCUGGAGACAGGCUUGUCCCUUUCUUCUUCCUUACCUGCUGGGUCCAGCGCCCUCUAGCAAGGGCAAAGAGGAGUAACAUGUGGUCUGUGAUGGUGUUUGAAGGGAAAGAAUAUAAAUGAGACCCAGUAUGCUGGAUGGUCCAAGGGGUCCCCCAAUGACAGGAAUAAGAGCAGUUGGUAACCCAUCUGGUAAGACACAUUGGAAGGGGAUGAGGUUAGUGAAUGAAAGCCACAAGAACGGAUAUAUGAAUUGUGAAAGACGUAAGGAUCAGUGUCCUGUCCUUCCAAAUGACUUGGUAUUUCUCUUCUUUCAGAGAUGAUGUAUUAUCAUCAAUCUAGUUAGAAUUUAAAAGGGUUAGUCAGUAGGGAUUAUGGUUAGAAAGGGUUAUGGGUUUGGGAUUAGGGUUAAUAUAUGUAUUU